This 246-nucleotide ribosomal RNA is filed under the name Stutzerimonas stutzeri. RNAcentral's name for it is "Pseudomonas stutzeri partial 23S ribosomal RNA". It matches the Rfam family "Bacterial large subunit ribosomal RNA", at positions 2702 to 2925 of the family's 2925-position model. Lineage: Bacteria; Pseudomonadati; Pseudomonadota; Gammaproteobacteria; Pseudomonadales; Pseudomonadaceae. The record is from RNAcentral.
CGAACCUCUGGUGUUCCGGUUGUCACGCCAGUGGCAUUGCCGGGUAGCUAUGUUCGGAAGAGAUAACCGCUGAAAGCAUCUAAGCGGGAAACUUGCCUCAAGAUGAGAUCUCACUGGAGCCUUGAGCCCCCUGAAGGGCCGUCGAAGACUACGACGUUGAUAGGUUGGGUGUGUAAGCGCUGUGAGGCGUUGAGCUAACCAAUACUAAUUGCCCGUGAGGCUUGACCAUAUAACACCCAAACAAUU